GACGAACGCUGGCGGCGUGCUUAACACAUGCAAGUCGAACGGAGAGGCCCUGCUUUUGUGGGGUGCUCGAGUGGCGAACGGGUGAGUAACACGUGAGUAACCUGCCCUUGACUUUGGGAUAACUUCAGGAAACUGGGGCUAAUACCGGAUAGGAGCUCCUGCUGCAUGGUGGGGGUUGGAAAGUUUCGGCGGUUGGGGAUGGACUCGCGGCGUAUCAGCUUGUUGGUGGGGUAGUGGCUUACCAAGGCUUUGACGGGUAGCCGGCCUGAGAGGGUGACCGGCCACAUUGGGACUGAGAUACGGCCCAGACUCCUACGGGAGGCAGCAGUGGGGAAUAUUGCACAAUGGGCGGAAGCCUGAUGCAGCAACGCCGCGUGCGGGAUGACGGCCUUCGGGUUGUAAACCGCUUUCGCCUGUGACGAAGCGUGAGUGACGGUAAUGGGUAAAGAAGCACCGGCUAACUACGUG
This 468-nucleotide ribosomal RNA is filed under the name uncultured bacterium. Its description in RNAcentral is "partial 16S ribosomal RNA". It matches the Rfam family "Bacterial small subunit ribosomal RNA", at positions 28 to 507 of the family's 1533-position model. The record is from RNAcentral.